UUUUUAGUAUAAAUAUACACCAUGCAUAUACUUAGGAUAUACUUAUACUAAAA
RNAcentral lists this microRNA precursor (53 nucleotides) under Marmota monax (woodchuck). The record is from RNAcentral. Lineage: Eukaryota; Metazoa; Chordata; Mammalia; Rodentia; Sciuridae.